AGCUUAAAACCUUUCCCCCUUGUCCUAUCAAUACAUGCCAUCACCUCUCCUUUUUCCUUCAAGUCUUCUCCAUUACAGGUGCUACGUGAUCUGCAGAAAAAUAUGGUUGGCAACAGCUGCUGGCUUGGAGAAGGUAAAUGUGUCUGAAGGCAGCCAAGUCUGACUGCAUAGCGGGAGAAGAAUGGAAGUUUUCUCCUUCAGAAGAGCACAGAAUGAGACUUCUCUGGAUAAGUGUUUCUGUGGGCAUGGUGCAGGGCGUCCCUCAUGGGAGCUGUCUCAGGAGAAAUCCGGGUGUGGAAAGCCUGCCCAGCAGGGAACGGAAGCACCACAAUGAGCAGAAAUUGAGGAAAGACACCAUUUCCUUAGGAGUGCAUUGUCCAUAUGUGUUUCCACUCUCUAGCAGUCUGAUCUGAAUCCACAGUCCAAAAGCACAUCCCUGUGCCAUGCCCUGGGGUGUGGCAGGGCACGCUCUGUCCAGGGCCACAAGAUUGAUUUUUUCUUGGUUAAGAUUCCCCCCUUCCUUCUCCGAUGUCUCUGCUCCUUCUUUUUGCAGAACUUCGUGCAAAAUCCUUUACUCCUUUUCAUGCACACAGUAGCACCCCUUUUCCCUUUUCCUGUGGGAUAGCUCACAAAAUAAAAGCACAGAGUUUCUUCCAGAGAAGGGACCAUCCCGUUUCCUCCA
Long non-coding RNA from Pezoporus occidentalis (night parrot), 682 nucleotides. RefSeq lists it as uncharacterized. The record is from RefSeq and is a predicted model, not a curated record. The transcript is spliced from 2 exons. Lineage: Eukaryota; Metazoa; Chordata; Aves; Psittaciformes; Psittacidae.